This 253-nucleotide ribosomal RNA is filed under the name uncultured bacterium. RNAcentral's name for it is "partial 16S ribosomal RNA". It matches the Rfam family "Bacterial small subunit ribosomal RNA", at positions 524 to 776 of the family's 1533-position model. The record is from RNAcentral.
GACAGAGGGUGCAAACGUUGUUCGGAAUUACUGGGCGUAAAGCGCGUGUAGGCGGCGGUGCAAGUCGGAUGUGAAAGCCCUGGGCUCAACCCAGGAAGUGCAUUCGAUACUGCAUUGCUGGAGUCCCGGAGAGGAUGGUGGAACUCUCGGUGUAGAGGUGAAAUUCGUAGAUAUCGAGAAGAACACCAGUGGCGAAGGCGACUUACUGGACGAUUGUUGACGCUGAGGUGCGAAAGCGUGGGGAGCAAACAGG